GCUAGUAAUCGCGCAUCAGCCAUGGCGCGGUGAAUACUUCCCGGGCCUUGUACACACCGCCCGUCAAGCCAUGGGAGCCGGGGGUGCUUGAAGUGCGUCGCCGCAAGGCGCGCCCUAGAGCAAAACCGGUGACUGGGGCUAAGUCGUAACAAGGUACC
This 158-nucleotide ribosomal RNA is filed under the name uncultured bacterium. RNAcentral describes it as "partial 16S ribosomal RNA". It matches the Rfam family "Bacterial small subunit ribosomal RNA", at positions 1334 to 1500 of the family's 1533-position model. The record is from RNAcentral.